UGCUAUUGAUAUUCUACUUGUUGACCCAGGUGGGGGCUGAGAGAGUAUGCUUACUGAUGUUUUCAUACUUUUCUGCAUAUAUAUUAUACUUCAAAAUACAGAGGGGUUUUCUUCUUUUUUUUUGGUUUGUUUGUUUUUCAGUGGUUGAAAGGAAGAAAACAGACACUGAGCUGAAUCUAUCACAGUCCUUGUCCCGGGAGCUGACCCAGAUACCCAACAAGAACAGACAGGAAGACGGUGAUAAAAAUUAUUCAUUCCUUCAGCAAAGCUCAUAAACCUGUUUCUCUGACUGUAUCCCUGUUCUUGUGCUGGGGCUGUGGGAAUGGAAGGAAAACAAGCACAGAGGCACUCAAGACAUCGGAAAUCAGCGAAUGAAUGAAUGAAUGAAUGAGUGACGCACAUCGAAGAAUCACCACCAAAGCCUUGUCAGCUCACACCGAUCAUGAAAACAUCUUCAUCAACUAAGGACCUGGAAUUGAAAGAUCACACAUUUCAUCUCCAGAAAGUCCUCAAAUGCUCUCCACCAUUGCUGUCUUCAAGACUGCUGCCCAAAACGACUGUCCGCGAAUGAGCUGGCCGGUUCUGAUGCACUUUGUUGGCAAAAACCAAAGGUCAGCUUGAUGGGUUCCCAUUUUCCUCCUCUGUAGAAGGACUGGGUUCCCUAGAUGACUUCUGUUGGCUGCUGGAAUCACUCAAGUGAAGGAUGGCCCCCUGUGGACGUUUAGAUCAAGGAGUUAGCAAAUACUCUCAGGCAAUGGACUUCACCAAAACCCCACCAUCUAUCUGAAUACCUGGGGAAGGGGUGAGGGGGGACCAGAGAGCGAUGAUAGGAGAGGAAAAAUCAGGCAAUGUUCCCUUUUCCAACUUCACACCUCCUUCCCUCUUUGUUUCCCCACCCCCUGAACAACA
Odocoileus virginianus texanus is the source of this 909-nucleotide non-coding RNA. NCBI's taxonomy places the organism in Eukaryota, Metazoa, Chordata, Mammalia, Artiodactyla, Cervidae. The record is from RefSeq and is a predicted model, not a curated record.